Non-coding RNA from Bos taurus (domestic cattle), 72 nucleotides. Lineage: Eukaryota; Metazoa; Chordata; Mammalia; Artiodactyla; Bovidae. The record is from Rfam.
UCCCUGGUGGUCCAAGGGCUAAGACUCUGCACUCCCAAUGCAGGGGUUUGGGUUCGAUCCCUGGUCAGAGAA